RNAcentral lists this long non-coding RNA (2640 nucleotides) under Triticum aestivum (bread wheat). RNAcentral describes it as "long non-coding RNA (TAES_LNC003584)". The record is from RNAcentral. Lineage: Eukaryota; Viridiplantae; Streptophyta; Magnoliopsida; Poales; Poaceae.
GUCCGGGUUCAAGGAUCUGGCCCCCGCCAUCGAGACGUAUGGGGUCGUCGCCGAGUACAUCUGGUACGUACACAUGAACCUCCCUCCACUCCAAUGUCGCUGCUGUUUGUUUCGUCUGUCACUAUGUUCCUAGAGACCACAACAGUAGCUUCAGGAUAGGGGGCCAAACCUGCAUCUUUUUAUGAUUUCUUUUUAUUAGAUUAGCACGGGAACGAGCAGUGCAGUGAGGAUUUGGCCCCUUAAAGACUUGGUAGGUGAUAAGUGACGUCCAUAUUCUGUAAACGUCUUGGUCCCGGUUCCAACUCAUUGAAUACAUCUUUUUAAUAUGUGAAUAAAUUCACUUUCGGUCUGUUUGCUAACUUGCUAAUUGCCUUCUUACACCCCAUGGCGGAUCUGUGUAUGAAAGUGUGAUUGGCUAUAAACAUGAAAAAAUUACCAAAACAAAUAGUAGACCGUACUUCAUGUGUGCAUUGAGAUGAAGUGUAAGGAUCACGUGAUAUAUAUCAUUUCAUAUAUCAUGUCAGCAAAAACACGCUGUGAUGGUCGCCAUCGGCUGAUGGCGUACAUUCCUUGGCACUGGGAUACCGUAGAGGGGGAGGGCGACGUCGUGAAGGGAAGGGGAGACGACGCUGGAAUGUCGUGGCAUGCUUUGAUGCCAGCAGCGUCAGUUUGGAGAGAAGCUGGGGGUAGAUAUGAGUGUGAGCAUUGCUAUGAAAUGCGAUAUGAUGGUGAGCGUUGUGCCAUGCAAUGAGAGAGUGAAUUGCUUUUUCAAAAAAUAAAAAUAAAAGGAGUGACACUUUUUUUUGGGAAAGUAUUUGAUUGCGAUCAGAGAAAUGUCACAUACUUUUAUAUAGUUGAAAAUAUCAGAUACCCUAACAAGUCAUGUUUAUAAUGGACCAGACCAAAAAAUCAUUGAGUUUUAACAAUCAUAAGAGAUGCAUACAAAUAAUGCUUCUUAAUAUAUUUGUUACACAUGAUAAUACAAAAGGUGUGUUUAUAUAUAUUCUUAAUAUAUUUAUUUAUUUUCAUAUGAGAGAGAUAAAGAUGGAUUAUGUCAACGUUUGAAAAAAAAAACCACCAAACAAGGGUGUAGGGACGAUGCUAUUGAAAGAGGUAAAAAAUUCAUCGAGUUUUGUACAACAAAAGGCCCGUGGCAACGCACGGGCAUUCUACUAUAUAGGCCCGUGGCAACGCACGGGCAUUCUACUAUAUAGAUUGUAUAUGAGUUUUUUUUCUUAUUUUAAUAUAUGUUUAUAUGUUCACCUUUAUAUAUCAAAGACAAAAACUGGUAGCUUAUGAUUGUGCUUUGAAAAUGCUGAUCGGCAAAGUCAUUGACGUAACUAUGAUGGGCUGGCCUAAAAGCAUGAUUUCACAGAAUUGGAAGAAAUGCAUACAAAUAAUUGUUCUUUUUUUAGAGAUGUUGCACAUGCAUACAAAUGAUUGUAUUAAUUUAUUCUAUAGCAACGGAUCCACUGUGGUAGUAGUAGUGGAGGCGGAUAUAGUGUUGUAAAAAUGUUCGACAAUACCGGUUGAUUUGUAUGAGGAUCUGCAAGGACACGACACAUGUUGAACCAUUGAAAUAUUUAAGUCCACUAGAUAAAAGGAUGGACACAUGAGCUCGGGACCUGGUUGUGGGCGCUGAACUCGGAGAAGGUGCGGCGUUGUGGUGAACAGGUUGUGUCGUUGUGGUGGUCACCCUCGGCUAUGAUUGCGUGCAACCCUUGGCAGUGGGAAUUGGCCUGGGAUGCCGUCGAGGGGAGAGGAGGGGCGGGCGACUCCGUGCAGGCUAAAUGAUGUGCCGUUGAGGGGAGGACAGUGAGAGGCCGUUGUGGGCAGAACAGUCCGGGGGGAAGGAGAUGUGAGUGCGAGCGAUAUGUCGUGCUAUUAGAGAAUAAGAGGGCAUAUUGAUUUUUUUUAGAUAAAAAUAGGAGUGGCUGCUUGUUUUUGUAGCGAAAAGCGAUUGCUUGCUACAAAAGGCAUGUCUCAUUUUUUUAUAUAGUUAAAAAUAUCACAAACCCUAACGAGUCAUUUCUGGAGAAUAAUUAUCAACAAAUAAAUUACAGGAAGCACUCAUGUUAUUAAAAUUUUGAUGUGACUCACUCUACUAAAAAGCACAAUGCGACUCACUGUGACUAAAAAUGGUCACCUGCUUAUAUGAAUAUAGAUUGUAUAUGAGUUUUUUUAUUAUUUUAAUAUAUGUUUAUAUGUUCACCUUUAUAUAUCAGAGAUAAAAACUGGUAGCUUCUAAUUAUGCUUUGAAAAUGCUGAUUGGCAAAGUCAUUGGCAUAACUAUGAUGGGCUGGCCUAAAAACAUGAUUUUACAGAAUUGGAAGAAAUGCAUACAAAUAAUUGUUCUUUUUUGAGAGAUGUUGCACAUGACAAUAUAAAAGGUGUAUUUCUAUAUAUGUUUAAUUUUGCAGGUUAUGAGAGAGAUGGAUAUGAAUUAUGUUGACGUUCAAAAAGAAACCAUCGACAAGGGACAAUAUUGAUGAAAGGGGCAAAAAAUUAACAAAAUUUUAAGUAUAUAUGUGCAAUCAGAAAAAAAUUAUUUAAAAGGCCUGUAGCAACUCAUGCAAGGUGCUCUCACGGGUGUAGGUUUGUCCAUCGCCAUUUGACUUUAUAACCGUGCAAGACAGUUGA